This 526-nucleotide ribosomal RNA is filed under the name uncultured bacterium. Its description in RNAcentral is "bacterial SSU rRNA". It matches the Rfam family "Bacterial small subunit ribosomal RNA", at positions 28 to 545 of the family's 1533-position model. The record is from RNAcentral.
AUUGAACGCUGGCGGCGUGCUUUACACAUGCAAGUCGAGCGGCAGCGCGACCUUCGGGUUGGCGGCGAGCGGCGAACGGGUGAGUAAUACAUCGGAACGUACCUUUUAGUGGGGGAUAACGCAUCGAAAGAUGUGCUAAUACCGCAUAAUCUCUGAGGAGGAAAGGCGGGGAUCACGCAAGUGACCUGUCGCUGAAAGAGCGGCCGAUGGUCGAUUAGCUAGUUGGCGGGGUAAAAGCCCACCAAGGCGAUGAUCGAUAGCGGGUCUGAGAGGACGAUCCGUCACACUGGGACUGAGACACGGCCCAGACUCCUACGGGAGGCAGCAGUGGGGAAUUUUGGACAAUGGGGGAAACCCUGAUCCAGCAACGCCGCGUGAAUGAAGAAGGCCUUAGGGUUGUAAAGUUCUUUUGUCAGGGAAGAAAGUUUCUGUGCUAAUACCAUAGAACGAUGACGGUACCUGAAGAAUAAGCACCGGCUAACUACGUGCCAGCAGCCGCGGUAAUACGUAGGGUGCAAGCGUUAAU